RNAcentral lists this ribosomal RNA (497 nucleotides) under uncultured bacterium. RNAcentral's name for it is "partial 16S ribosomal RNA". It matches the Rfam family "Bacterial small subunit ribosomal RNA", at positions 28 to 507 of the family's 1533-position model. The record is from RNAcentral.
GAUGAACGCUGGCGGCGUGCCUAAUACAUGCAAGUCGAGCGAACAGACGAGGAGCUUGCUCCUCUGACGUUAUCGGCGGACGGGUGAGUAACACGUGGAUAACCUACCUAUAAGACUGGGAUAACUUCGGGAAACCGGAGCUAAUACCGGAUAAUAUAUUGAACCUCAUGGUUCAAUAGUGAAAGACGGUUUUGCUGUCACUUAUAGAUGGAUCCGCGCCGCAUUAGCUAGUUGGUAAGGUAACGGCUUACCAAGGCAACGAUGCGUAGCCGACCUGAGAGGGUGGUCGGCCACACUGGAACUGAGACACGGUCCAGACUCCUACGGGAGGCAGCAGUAGGGAAUCUUCCGCAAUGGGCGAAAGCCUGAUGGAGCAACGCCGCGUGAGUGAUGAAGGUCUUCGGAUCGUAAAGCUCUGUUAUUAGGGAAGAACAAAUGUGUAAGUAACUAUGCACGUCUUGACGGUACCUAAUCAGAAAGCCACGGCUAACUACGUG